This 451-nucleotide ribosomal RNA is filed under the name uncultured bacterium. RNAcentral describes it as "partial 16S ribosomal RNA". It matches the Rfam family "Bacterial small subunit ribosomal RNA", at positions 330 to 795 of the family's 1533-position model. The record is from RNAcentral.
CCCAGACUCCUACGGGAGGCAGCAGUGGGGAAUAUUGGGCAAUGGACGCAAGUCUGACCCAGCAACGCCGCGUGAAGGAAGAAGGCCCUCGGGUUGUAAACUUCUUUUGUCAGGGACGAAGAAAGUGACGGUACCUGACGAAUAAGCCACGGCUAACUACGUGCCAGCAGCCGCGGUAAUACGUAGGUGGCAAGCGUUGUCCGGAUUUACUGGGUGUAAAGGGCGUGUAGCCGGGUUGACAAGUCAGAUGUGAAAUCCUGCGGCUUAACCGCAGAACUACAUUUGAAACUGUUGAUCUUGAGUACUGGAGAGGCAGACGGAAUUCCUAGUGUAGCGGUGAAAUGCGUAGAUAUUAGGAGGAACACCAGUGGCGAAGGCGGUCUGCUGGACAGCAACUGACGGUGAGGCGCGAAAGCGUGGGGAGCAAACAGGAUUAGAUACCCUAGUACUU